CCUGGCUCAGGACGAACGCUGGCGGCGCGCCUAACACAUGCAAGUCGAACGAGAGAUGAGGAGCUUGCUCUUCAGAUCGAGUGGCGAACGGGUGAGUAACGCGUGAGGAACCUGCCUCAAAGAGGGGGACAACAGUUGGAAACGACUGCUAAUACCGCAUAAGCCCACGGCUCGGCAUCGAGCAGAGGGAAAAGGAGCAAUCCGCUUUGAGAUGGCCUCGCGUCCGAUUAGCUGGUUGGUGAGGUAACGGCCCACCAAGGCGACGAUCGGUAGCCGGACUGAGAGGUUGAACGGCCACAUUGGGACUGAGACACGGCCCAGACUCCUACGGGAGGCAGCAGUGGGGAAUAUUGCACAAUGGGGGAAACCCUGAUGCAGCGACGCCGCGUGGAGGAAGAAGGUCUUCGGAUUGUAAACUCCUGUUGUUGAGGAAGAUAAUGACGGUACUCAACAAGGAAGUGACGGCUAACUACGUGCCAGCAGCCGCGGUAAAACGUAGGUCACAAGCGUUGUCCGGAAUUACUGGGUGUAAAGGGAGCGCAGGCGGGAGAACAAGUUGGAAGUGAAAUCCAUGGGCUCAACCCAUGAACUGCUUUCAAAACUGUUUUUCUUGAGUAGUGCAGAGUAGGCGGAAUUCCCGGUGUAGCGGUGGAAUGCGUAGAUAUCGGGAGGAACACCAGUGGCGAAGGCGGCCUACUGGGCACCAACUGACGCUGAGGCUCGAAAGUGUGGGUAGCAAACAGGAUUAGAUACCCUGGUAGUCCACACCGUAAACGAUGAUUACUAGGUGUUGGAGGAUUGACCCCUUCAGUGCCGCAGUUAACACAAUAAGUAAUCCACCUGGGGAGUACGACCGCAAGGUUGAAACUCAAAGGAAUUGACGGGGGCCCGCACAAGCAGUGGAGUAUGUGGUUUAAUUCGACGCAACGCGAAGAACCUUACCAAGUCUUGACAUCCCUUGACGAACAUAGAAAUAUGUUUUCUCUUCGGAGCAAGGAGACAGGUGGUGCAUGGUUGUCGUCAGCUCGUGUCGUGAGAUGUUGGGUUAAGUCCCGCAACGAGCGCAACCCUUAUGGUCAGUUACUACGCAAGAGGACUCUGGCCAGACUGCCGUUGACAAAACGGAGGAAGGUGGGGAUGACGUCAAAUCAUCAUGCCCUUUAUGACUUGGGCUACACACGUACUACAAUGGCGUUAAACAAAGAGAAGCAAGACCGCGAGGUGGAGCAAAACUCAGAAACAACGUCCCAGUUCGGACUGCAGGCUGCAACUCGCCUGCACGAAGUCGGAAUUGCUAGUAAUCGUGGAUCAGCAUGCCACGGUGAAUACGUUCCCGGGCCUUGUACACACCGCCC
This 1355-nucleotide ribosomal RNA is filed under the name uncultured bacterium. Its description in RNAcentral is "bacterial SSU rRNA". It matches the Rfam family "Bacterial small subunit ribosomal RNA", at positions 18 to 1395 of the family's 1533-position model. The record is from RNAcentral.